RNAcentral lists this small RNA (17 nucleotides) under Arabidopsis thaliana (thale cress). Its description in RNAcentral is "ATSL130520". Lineage: Eukaryota; Viridiplantae; Streptophyta; Magnoliopsida; Brassicales; Brassicaceae. The record is from RNAcentral.
UUUUUGCUUCUUUUUUU